RNAcentral lists this transfer RNA (67 nucleotides) under Marmota monax (woodchuck). RNAcentral describes it as "tRNA.Val". The record is from RNAcentral. Lineage: Eukaryota; Metazoa; Chordata; Mammalia; Rodentia; Sciuridae.
GGUUGUGGCUUAGUGGUAGAGCACUUGUCACACAUGUGUGAGGCACUGGGUUCGAUUCUCAGCACCA